GACGAACGCUGGCGGCGUGCUUAACACAUGCAAGUCGAACGGAAAGGCCCUGCUUUUGUGGGGUGCUCGAGUGGCGAACGGGUGAGUAACACGCGAGUAACCUGCCCCUGACUUUGGGAUAACUUCAGGAAACUGGGGCUAAUACCGGAUAGGAGCUCCUGCUGCAUGGUGGGGGUUGGAAAGUUUCGGCGGUUGGGGAUGGACUCGCGGCUUAUCGGCUUGUUGGGGGGGUAGUGGCUUACCAAGGCUUUGACGGGUAGCCGGCCUGAGCGGGUGACCGGCGACAUUGGGACUGAGAUACGGCAGAGACUCCGACGGGAGGGAGCAGGGGGGAAGAUUGCACAAUGGGCGGAAGCCGAGUGCAGAAACGCCGCGUGCGGGAUGACGGCCUUCGGGUUGUAAACCGCUUUCGCCUGUGACGAUGCGUGAGUGGCGGUAAUGGGUAAAGAAGCACCGGCUAACUACGUG
This 468-nucleotide ribosomal RNA is filed under the name uncultured bacterium. Its description in RNAcentral is "partial 16S ribosomal RNA". It matches the Rfam family "Bacterial small subunit ribosomal RNA", at positions 28 to 507 of the family's 1533-position model. The record is from RNAcentral.